RNAcentral lists this ribosomal RNA (1287 nucleotides) under metagenome. Its description in RNAcentral is "bacterial SSU rRNA". It matches the Rfam family "Bacterial small subunit ribosomal RNA", at positions 242 to 1520 of the family's 1533-position model. The record is from RNAcentral.
UAGCUAGUUGGUGAGGUAAAGGCUUACCAAGGCGACGAUCUGUAGCGGGUCUGAGAGGAUGAUCCGCCACACUGGAACUGAGACACGGUCCAGACUCCUACGGGAGGCAGCAGUGGGGAAUUUUGGACAAUGGGGGCAACCCUGAUCCAGCCAUACCGCGUGAGUGAAGGAGGCCUUCGGGUUGUAAAGCUCUUUCGGCCGGGAAGAAAUCGCAUGGGCCAAUACCCUGUGUGGAUGACGGUACCGGAAUAAGAAGCACCGGCUAACUACGUGCCAGCAGCCGCGGUAAUACGUAGGGUGCGAGCGUUAAUCGGAAUUACUGGGCGUAAAGCGAGCGCAGGCGGUUUUGUAAGACAGGCGUGAAAUCCCCGGGCUUAACCUGGGAACUGCGUUUGUGACUGCAAGGCUAGAGUACGGCAGAGGGGGGUGGAAUUCCACGUGUAGCAGUGAAAUGCGUAGAGAUGUGGAGGAACACCAAUGGCGAAGGCAGCCCCCUGGGUCGAUACUGACGCUCAUGCACGAAAGCGUGGGUAGCAAACAGGAUUAGAUACCCUGGUAGUCCACGCCCUAAACUAUGUCAACUAGGUGUUGGGUGGGUAAAACCAUUUAGUACCGUAGCUAACGCGUGAAGUUGACCGCCUGGGGAGUACGGCCGCAAGGUUAAAACUCAAAGGAAUUGACGGGGACCCGCACAAGCGGUGGAUGAUGUGGAUUAAUUCGAUGCAACGCGAAAAACCUUACCUACCCUUGACAUGCCAGGAACUUGCCAGAGAUGGCUUGGUGCCCGAAAGGGAGCCUGGACACAGGUGCUGCAUGGCCGUCGUCAGCUCGUGUCGUGAGAUGUUGGGUUAAGUCCCGCAACGAGCGCAACCCUUGUCGUUAAUUGCCAUCAUUUGGUUGGGCACUUUAACGAGACUGCCGGUGACAAACCGGAGGAAGGUGGGGAUGACGUCAAGUCCUCAUGGCCCUUAUGGGUAGGGCUUCACACGUCAUACAAUGGUCGGUACAAAGGGUUGCCAAGCCGCGAGGCGGAGCCAAUCCCAGAAAGCCGAUCGUAGUCCGGAUUGCAGGCUGCAACUCGCCUGCAUGAAGUCGGAAUCGCUAGUAAUCGUGGAUCAGCAUGUCACGGUGAAUACGUUCCCGGGUCUUGUACACACCGCCCGUCACACCAUGGGGGCGGGUUCCGCCAGAAGUAGGUAGCCUAACCGCAAGGAGGGCGCUUACCACGGCGGGGUUCGUGACUGGGGUGAAGUCGUAACAAGGUAGCCGUAGGGGAACCUGCGGCUG